Molecule: non-coding RNA, 73 nt
Organism: Cordylochernes scorpioides
Lineage: Eukaryota; Metazoa; Arthropoda; Arachnida; Pseudoscorpiones; Chernetidae
Source: the annotation of a GenBank genome assembly
AUUCAGGGAUGGGAAUCGAACCCACAGUGUUCCGCUUACCGGGCAGAUGCCAUGUCCACUAGGCUACCCUGGA